GAUGAACGCUGGCGGCGUGCCUAAUACAUGCAAGUCGAGCGAACAGACGAGGAGCUUGCUCCUCUGACGUUAGCGGCGGACGGGUGAGUAACACGUGGAUAACCUACCUAUAAGACUGGGAUAACUUCGGGAAACCGGAGCUAAUACCGGAUAAUAUAUUGAACCGCAUGGUUCAAUAGUGAAAGACGGUUUUGCUGUCACUUAUAGAUGGAUCCGCGCCGCAUUAGCUAGUUGGUAAGGUAACGGCUUACCAAGGCAACGAUGCGUAGCCGACCUGAGAGGGUGAUCGGCCACACUGGAACUGAGACACGGUCCAGACUCCUACGGGAGGCAGCAGUAGGGAAUCUUCCGCAAUGGGCGAAAGCCUGACGGAGCAACGCCGUGUGAGUGAUGAAGGUCUUCGGAUCGUAAAACUCUGUUAUUAGGGAAGAACAAAUGUGUAAGUAACUAUGCACGUCUUGACGGUACCCAAUCAGAAAGCCACGGCUAACUACGUG
RNAcentral lists this ribosomal RNA (497 nucleotides) under uncultured bacterium. Its description in RNAcentral is "partial 16S ribosomal RNA". It matches the Rfam family "Bacterial small subunit ribosomal RNA", at positions 28 to 507 of the family's 1533-position model. The record is from RNAcentral.